Non-coding RNA from Pelobates cultripes (western spadefoot toad), 589 nucleotides. The record is from the annotation of a GenBank genome assembly. NCBI's taxonomy places the organism in Eukaryota, Metazoa, Chordata, Amphibia, Anura, Pelobatidae.
GGAUCCUGGAAAGCUCAAAAGAUUUCCAUCCAAAUACAUCGUCCUCUAAGAGUGCUAAAAUGGCCGGAUCCAAUAGAGUUUAGGACCGUAUAACACAGAAGAGCCCUUACGUGUUGCAGUGAGUGUGAGAUACUCUGGUUACCAUUUGUACAAUCCUGUUCCAUGCCCGACCUGUCAAUAUUCGUGUAGGGGUUCCUGGCCUACACGCCACCUACAAGAUAUGGAAUAAUAUAGUGAGACCCCUAAGUUCCUGUCUCAUAGACUGUCCAAGCAUGUAUCUCCCAGUGUAGGUUUCCUUGAUGGUAGUUAAAUAGGAAGGCUAGUGAGAACCCAAAUCAAGAUGGUUCCCGUGAUGGAUAUAGAGUCCGAACACUGUUCUCAAGGUGUGUUCAGAGUUGUAGGAGCAGUCCUGCCAACUUUAUCUCAAGAUUGUAAGGACCAGGGAAGCCAAGUCCUGAGAAUUUCGGUUUCUCCAUGCGAUCCAUGCAUACGGUGCACCUGAAGACAGUUUAUGUGAAUUUUCCAGUCUUGUUACUCAAGCAAAGCAGUGCCCGUUUGCCCUAUGCAGGUCUCAGAAUCUCAUGUCACC